GAAAAGAAAAACUAAAGUGGAAGUAACAUUAUAUUGCUACUAUAUUGUUAGGCGAUUUUUAGAAAAAAAAUAUAUUGUUAGGCGAUGAUAUUGAUAAUUGGAACGAUAAAGAUCCAUUAUACUGUAAUAACAUAUUACAUAUCUAAAUAAAGAUUGCUUAACUUUUGAAGGAAAAAAAAAACUCUGAUGAGAAUUGUUGGUGAUCAUGAUAAUAAACAACUUAUGAUUGCGCAC
Molecule: long non-coding RNA, 234 nt
Filed under: Brassica rapa (field mustard)
Lineage: Eukaryota; Viridiplantae; Streptophyta; Magnoliopsida; Brassicales; Brassicaceae
Description: long non-coding RNA (BRAP_LNC005069)
Source: RNAcentral